AAUGAACGCUGGCGGCGUGCUUUACACAUGCAAGUCGAGCGAGGCGGGGAGCAAUCCCCAGUCGAGCGGCGAACGGGUGAGUAACGCGUGGAUGACCUGCCCUGCAGCGGGGAAUAACCCGGGGAAACUCGGGCUAAUACCGCAUACGACCGAGAGGUGAAAGGGGGCUCGCAAGGGCUCUCGCUGGCGGGAGGGGUCCGCGUCCGAUUAGCUAGUUGGUAGGGUAAUGGCCUACCAAGGCGACGAUCGGUAGCCGGCCUGAGAGGGUGAUCGGCCACACUGGAACUGAGACACGGUCCAGACUCCUACGGGAGGCAGCAGUGGGGAAUUUUGCGCAAUGGGCUAACGCCUGACGCAGCAACGCCGCGUGGAGGAUGAAGGUCCUUGGAUUGUAAACUCCUGUCAGCAGGGAAAAAGGGAAGGGAGCGAAUACCUCUCUGAC
RNAcentral lists this ribosomal RNA (442 nucleotides) under uncultured bacterium. RNAcentral's name for it is "bacterial SSU rRNA". It matches the Rfam family "Bacterial small subunit ribosomal RNA", at positions 29 to 473 of the family's 1533-position model. The record is from RNAcentral.